This 158-nucleotide ribosomal RNA is filed under the name Lactobacillus sp. enrichment culture DGGE gel band 8. RNAcentral's name for it is "partial 16S ribosomal RNA". It matches the Rfam family "Bacterial small subunit ribosomal RNA", at positions 333 to 484 of the family's 1533-position model. Lineage: Bacteria; Bacillati; Bacillota; Bacilli; Lactobacillales; Lactobacillaceae. The record is from RNAcentral.
CUACUCCUACGGGAGGCAGCAGUAGGGAAUCUUCCACAAUGGACGCAAGUCUGAUGGAGCAACCCCGCGCGAGUGAAGAAGGGUUUCGGGUCGUAAAACUCUCCGUUGGAGAAGAAAGGUCGUCAGAGUAACUGUUGUCGGCGUGACGGUAUCCAACC